UCAAUCAAAUUAUUUACAAUAAUUACACAAUUAAUUAAUUUCUCUGAUAAAUAAGAGCUUGAACAAAAUGUUCAAAUAACAAAAUUACACUUGUAAUCACAUCUAGUAUAGAAGUUGCUUCCUACUGUGUUAUAAUCUUGCCCCAACUUGCACGCCAAUGGGACCCUCCAAUAAAUCUGUUAGAAUUGACUCUGUAUCAAUGAUAUCUCAUCAUCUAUACAUAACGAAUUUGUGUUGUAUAUUCAUAUCAUAACGUAUGAACAGUAAGAACUAACAUUCUUAUUAAGAUUAAAACUCAUAGAAAAGAAAAUAAAUUUAUGGAUGAAAUUAAUGAAAGGACAUCAAUUCAAAUUCUAUAUUUUCGAAUUAAGAGAAAUAUUGAGAGAGAUCAAUAAUUUUUAUUAUUUCUUAUAUUCAUGGACCCGAUUCAAUUUAGUAGAACUUGAAGUCGAGACAUUAUUGUUGUUGCUACUCCUCCAAAAAGUAUACUAUAAAAUCAUCUUAAAAUAAAACAGUUUCAAUUUUUACUCAUAUAGUUUAUGAGUUCUAUGGUGAAUUUUACUUUGUCUAAGACAGUUUCAAUUUUUGAUAGUAUCUUUUAACUUGAUGGUGGACUUGUUUGAUUUUGAGAUAUGCUUUGUUCUUGUUAGAAAAUAAUUAAUUGAAUAACUAGUCAAAAGCUUAUUAUUUCUUGAUCGUUGAACACUUUGGAUAACUUUGAAGGGAGAAUCUCGAUUUGCAAAGAAUACUUAGAUCUUUUGAAACAUCUAAGAUGAUUAUAGAACUUACUCGAUUUUUGGUUGAUUUGGAGGAAUAACAAGAAAGAUCUAUGUCUUGCUCUUGAAAAGAAGAUGCCAAAUAAAAGGCUUCAUCUUGUUAAUAAGGAAUAAGACUUUAUAAUAGUAAAGACCAAAAUAAGUGCUUUUUUUUUACCGUACAGAAGAGAUGUUGUGGUGUUAUCGGAUUUCAUUUGAAAUUUUUAGGACGUUCUAUCUAUGAUUGCAUUUGGGACUCUAGUGAAGUACUACGAUAGGAGACGAGCUGCCAUUAACACUCUUGAAUCUUCUAAAAUGUCCUUGCUAAAGAGCAAAGUUGUUGUCAUGCUGUUUUAACUUCUAGAAAAGGUAAAUGUUAUUGUGAAGAGAAAGGGGGUCAUCAUACACUAACGAAUUUGCUAGCGGAGGUAGUAGGGGCUAUUACAUUGCAUGAGGAACAUUAUCUAUUGUCCACUCAUAGAAGUGAGCAAAAAUUGACCAAAAAUGAAAGAUCAAACAAAUAGAAUCAAUUAAGGAGAUAGAUUUGGAUUGUUCGAUUUUCUAGUUAAAUUAUUAAAAAUAAAAAAUAAUAUCUUAAUCAAUUUAAUUUAGUUUUAAAAAUUAAAAUUGAACUGAUAAAAAAAAUGCAUUAAAAUUUUUAGUUUUUUAAAAAUUACUAAUAAUUAUAUAUACAUAUAAUUAAUAAUCACAUAUAAGUACAGAUUUUUUUAAAAAAAUAAAAAUUAUAUAAAUAUAUGUACCAAUUUAAUAUUUGUACUUAUAUGUAUAAAUAAUAUUUUUAAUUAAUAUGAUUAAUUUAAUUUUAAUUAUUAUAUUAUUAAUUGAACCACCCAAGUUUGAUUUCAAUUAUUACGUAUCGUUUGAUGAGUUUAAUCAAUUCGGUUGGUUGAGUUUUCAUAAACUAUUUUAAAUUUUAAAUUUUUUUUAAAGAAACCAACAGAAUGCUACACAUGCCAAAGAGGCGACUGUACGGAGAGAACAUUGAAGAAGAAGAAGAAGAAGAUGAGAAAGUGUCGCUAUUUUAUUUUUCUAUCUAUACAUGUACAUAACAGUAUAUAUAUAUAUAUACACACGCACACGUACACACACACACACAGGCUGCAGUAUACAUAUAUAUGUAUAUAUAUGUACACACACACACACAGACACAUAAAUAUACCUCUAUAUAUGGAUAUGAGGAGACAAUGUAACUGUUUUUUUCAUUCUAUUUUCCUUUUCUCUUUACUUUUGUUUUUCUUUGGUCAAAAUUUGUCUUUUUUUUCUUUUUUCCUUUUUUCUUUUAUCAACCAGCUUUUUUUUUUAACAAAGAAAGCAUCUAUUAUCAUGACAGACAUCACUAAAUAAGAAUGAGAGGUUGUACUUACAUGAUAUGGCAAGACAAACUAUGAGUACUACUUGCCCUAUAGCCUUUUGAUAUUGGCGAGUUGGUGGAGGUCAUACUUUAAGCAUCUAAGUUUAUUUCUCAAGUCAUUUGACUUUGUUGCAAGAGAUAGAGAUGAGAGGUAUUAUAGUUCCACUAUGCGCACCAAAGUUGUAACAACAAAUUUGAUGACCAAAAUAAAUAGAAAUAAAAAUUCAUUAUAACCUAAUCAAUGUAUAAAUUAAGUGUAGAAUGGAGUACGUAUUUUGGGUUCUAAUUUUUCUUUGGAAAAACAAAUCUGUUAUUCAAUCUCAUUAAACAAAUUUUUAUUUCAAUUUCUAAAUCAUUUGAUCUUGAAUACAGGUGAUCUUCUUUGUGUACAUUUUAAGUUUGAUGGUGAACUUCAUUUGAUCUCGAAAAAUGUUAAUCUUUGGCAACAUUUUUUAUUUAAGGGUGGAUUCUCUUUAUCUUAAAAUGAUAUUUGUUCUUGAUGAAAAAUAAUCAAUUAAACAAAUAGGUGAGAACUUGUUGUUUCUUGAUUGUAUAACACUUAGGUUAAUUUCGAACGGAGAAUCUUGAUUUAUGAAGAGUGUUUGAGUCUUUUAAAGACUUUAUAAUGGUUAUAUAGAUUUUUUGACUUGUUAGUAUAUUUGGAAGAAUGAAAAAGAUGAAUACUCUUGUUCUCGGAAAGAAUACACUAAAAGAGAGGCUUAUUUUUGCUAUCAAAAGGAAGACUAUAGAAGUAGAGGCCUUAUAGAGGAGGCAUUCUUGCUUUUAGAGGCUUUUUAUAUUUUUUCUAAAAUUUUCUCUCAAUUGUCCUCCCAUAUCUUGGUGGAGGACUUCCAUUAUAAGUAGUACAUAUGGGUAGGAUUUAUUUAUUAAUCCUACAUAAAUAUGGUAAUGAGUUUCUAUCUUAUCCGCGGACUUAAUAGAAACCACAUUUAGUUAUAAUUUGACUCAUGUAAAAAUAGAAAAACUUUACAUCGUAGCUAGGUUUAAUUUAUAAAAUGAAUAUUGUGGUAAUACAUAUCCCCCUCGCGUGAUCCUAUAAGCUUAUUAAACUUGGUCUGUAAUUUUAAUUUGGUUCAUAUGAAAAUAAGCCUAACUAGGUGUUGUCAAGUAUAUUUUAGACAUAAAAUAAAGCUAAUUAAAUAUUAAUGUUUAAUUAUUUUAUUAUUUCAUUAAUUGUCUAAAUAUUUAUUUACUAGUUAAAUAAUAAUUUUGGUUAAUAUGGUAUGUUUUAUAGGAAAGAAUUCCUUUGAGGAAAGAGAAACAAGAAACAACCUAAUGCACUAGAGUUACAUCAUACAAAAAGAUACUGAGCAGACAAAAAUCCAUUCCUCAGGCUAUAAAAUAUAUUCUUCAAACAAGAAGAAAAGUAGACCGAAUCGAUGCAUAACCAUGGCUCAUUUAUAAAUUUCAUCAGAGAAGCGAAUAUGCAAAGCAAAAAAUUUAGAAUCCACAGCUAAAUCAAGCCUGUCUCUUCAAACACUAAUCAACAUUAUAACGUCUAAUUAGCAACCAUUACUGAAAAUCAAAGGUGAACAAGGACAAACAAGAUGCUAAACAAUCUAGAUUUCUCAAUCGUGAGUAUUAAAAAACCAAGAUUGAUUCUAGUUUUCUCAAACUCAAUUAUAAUCCAGAAAAAGUGAAAUGAGGAAGGAGAUUCAAUUUACCUUCUCUGCUCUUCUCCCGGCAACCGUAAAGCCAGAAAAACCAAGUUCUAUCUGCUGUAAUCACUUCCUCUUCGGUUAGCUUUGAAAAGAAACCCUAACUGAGCCCCUUCUGUCAAAACACUCUCUCUCGGUUCUCUCCAUCGCCUUUGAAAAUGAAGCUCCCUUUUAUAGUCGUAACUCCGCAUGGUCUUGCCAGCUGUAGCUCGAAUUUUGGAGCCUUUUCGGAUGAAUUCCCGCGCUCCCCCCCCUCCUGCCACUUUCUU
This 4075-nucleotide long non-coding RNA is filed under the name Carica papaya (papaya). RNAcentral describes it as "long non-coding RNA (CPAP_LNC007754)". The record is from RNAcentral. Lineage: Eukaryota; Viridiplantae; Streptophyta; Magnoliopsida; Brassicales; Caricaceae.